GUUAACCGGACCCUAAAUUCAGGAAGGGUUUUCACUUCUCAUACAAAAAGUCAAAAACAUAGACAUACAUCUCCCAGAGCAACUGGUGCGUUCGUCGUGCUCGGACUGCUCGCCCAGCCACCGGUACCUCGCUGCUGCUGCUGCUCCCCUCUCAGGUGGGAGAACAUAAUUCAUAAACAAUGAAGUCAGAUCCAAAUAGACUUUCCAAAACUCACUCCCACCAUGGUAUUAAUUCCAGCAGUUUUAAGCUCAAACAAACUGCUUCCUGUUUUGACUUUAGAGAACUUUCAAAGGCCCUCAAUGUUGCAUCUUCCUCUUCAUCUUCAUCUGAUGCCAUAAAUAUCGCUUCCAACCAAGAAGGGACUGCUAUUGCUUCUGCUUCUGCUUAUGAUUGCAGCAAGCUCUUGGAGGCACUGCAUGGCAUUGAAGAGGUGUUCAAAUCUAAAGAAGAAGAAUAUUGUAGAGAAAAUGUACAGAGAUGCGAAGGCCGAACCAGAGUAACCGGAAAGAACAGAAAAGCAAGAAUUGAAAGAAGGUUACAAAGACAAAGAUUGCUAUUCGAAAAAUGCCAAUAGGGUAUAAUAUAUAUAGAUCCUACAAGGUCUAGGAUCAGGUGUAGAUGGGCUUUACACUAAAUUGGUGCCCAUACUUACACACAAUCCUUAUAUACACUCUCACAGUCCUUCUAACCCAUUUGUCUCUUUAAUUUCUCUGCUCCUACUUGCCUGCACUAGUUGAUUCAUGUAUUUACAUAAUUUUUUUUUUUUUUAAUUCAUUUGUUUGGUUA
Long non-coding RNA from Quercus lobata, 787 nucleotides. RefSeq lists it as uncharacterized. The record is from RefSeq and is a predicted model, not a curated record. The transcript has 2 exons. NCBI's taxonomy places the organism in Eukaryota, Viridiplantae, Streptophyta, Magnoliopsida, Fagales, Fagaceae.